CCUCAUAUAGUGAGGAUUUUUAAAAGUGAGAUAGAAGAAAACCUCAUGAGCAGAAACUCAUGAGCCUUAAAACUAAUUCAUUUGUACCAUAAAAAGUUAACAAAGUACCAGUAGUUAACAAAGUCAUAUAUUUAUUUUGCCUGCAUAUGGAGAGAAAUAUACUUUCACAACUCUUGAGUUUGGAGAGGCAUUUUAAUACAUUAGUGGGGAAUUUUUCUUUUUUCUUUUUUCAUGGUCUCGUUAAGGAAAUAGCCAUUUUCCACUAAAGGGUUAUACUGGAAACCUCUCCUGUCUGACAGCCUGAGCUGAUUGGUCAGGCUAUAGGGCAUGUUUGUUUCCUGCUUGACAUAGUAGGUUUUGCACAAUGGGUGAAAAACACUGUCAUUUUUGUCAUCACUGAUGGAUGAUGUUAUAACAUCAUGGUGGAUAGUGUUAUAAAAUAAAUCAACUCUCUGUAGUUUUUCUUUUCUUGAUAUCUUGAUUAUUUAAGUCAGAUGUAUUUCUUUUCUGAGAUCUAGCAGUUUUCUCUGUGUUUUAAAGGUGUGUAUGUCUAAUUUAUUUAAACGUGUCUAUAAAUGAAGAUUGUUCUGUUUGCUAUUCAGAUUAGUUGUUUUGGAAGCAAAAGUUCAGGUUUUAUGUGUUACGUCUUUGUAAAAGAGAAGCACAGACAUUUACAGUUUCUUUGUAGGAUAUGCCUACAAAACAGCAGUCACCAAUAAGAGACUUACUUGAAAAAUUUGUGUGUCUUCCAAAAGGCUCUCCAAGUUCUUAAUGCUACACAGUUUUCAGUGUUGAAGAUGUGUGCACAGGAAUCACUAAUGUGGGUUUUUAGGGGGAUGCAAGACCUCAAAUCUGUCUGUAAUGUUCAUUUUUUUCUUACUGUAAAGGAGAACCAGCACAUAUUAAGCUCCAUUGUUGAUAAUUUGAGAACACGAACCAAAUAACUUUGUUCUAAAUAACUAUAUAGCAAUUGAACAUACAGGAUAAUCUUCAUUCUUGGUUAUCAGAGAAAAUGUUGAGUCAGGGGGAAAACUGGAAGUGGAAAGCAGUGGACACCAAGGAAAACCCCACAAGAAGGGAAAAUUAGCUGUUAGGGAUGCUGUAAUGUAAGAAUCCAGGGCAGGUGGAAGGAACCAAAGACUUUACUGCUGUUAUUCUACUCUGUGCCUUUUAAUGUUCUAUGUUUGUAAAAUAGUACUGAUUUACAUUCAUGAUAGAUUUAUUACUUUCUCCUCUUUUUGUCCAUAAAACAAAACAGGCAAAUGGGAAUAAAUUUACUUGCUUAGAGCAAUUAGGUUAGUCAGAGACCACCUUAGUUUCCACAAAGAUGUGGUACCUGAGGGCUGGAGGUUUGGACCGUGGUUUUAUGUACUUAUUUUUAUUCUUUGUAAUAAAUUGUAUAGUCAGUAAGUGGCUUGUGGUUUAGGGUUGGGGGGGUGGCAAAAAAGAUGGAAAGAGAAAGAGAGAAGGAAUUUCUUUUUAGCUUUAUUUUUAAACCAAAACUUUUAUUUUAAUAUAGAAAGGAGCAAGAGUUUUUCUUCUGACAAGUUAUGCUUUCUUUUUAUCUAAUAUUGAACUAAUGGUGGGCAAUUUUUGACUUAAUGUUCAGUGAACAUCUUGAACUCUUCCUGAGUUACGGAUUUCCUCAU
Molecule: non-coding RNA, 1649 nt
Organism: Castor canadensis (American beaver)
Lineage: Eukaryota; Metazoa; Chordata; Mammalia; Rodentia; Castoridae
Source: RefSeq, a predicted model, not a curated record